CUGGGCGUGACAGGACCCAAGACAGCAAGGGGAGCCAGGAUGGAAUAGGGGCCCCACGCCUGCAGCCAGAAGCGGAGUGGGACGCCUGGGACGUGAGGGCCCCAGGUGGUCCCCAAAUAGCAGACAUUUCCACAGCUGUAUCCAAGAAGGUGCAGGGCUGCAGCGUCUGUGCUUCCCAGUCCCAGCACAGCUGAGCAAGGCCGGGUGACUGGCAGAGGCAGCUUGGAGCCAGGUGGAUGGACACCUGGCCCCCCGGAAGCUAUGAGCAGAACAGUCUCUCACAGCUCACGCAAGUCCUCCUGGGCUCCCACCCUGAGAACUGAAAAGAUCCAAGGGUUGCAGCCAAAGCCGUUUGGCUCUGACCGCUGACCAGUGGUUUAUGCUCGGAGGCUGAGCACUCGGGGCUCCUGAUCUUGUGGAGCUUCCUGCAAUCCCACGCCGUGCUGUCUGUGAGACACGGCAGACAAGCUUGCUUUCUUACACGAAUUAAACUCACAACAUAAU
RNAcentral lists this long non-coding RNA (504 nucleotides) under Chinchilla lanigera (long-tailed chinchilla). RNAcentral describes it as "lncRNA (ENSCLAG00000028891.1)". Lineage: Eukaryota; Metazoa; Chordata; Mammalia; Rodentia; Chinchillidae. The record is from RNAcentral.